GGACCUCCGUCCCGCGAGACCUCUCGUCGUUCCCGCCCCGACGCUACUUCCCCGGUGGCGGGUCGGGAACGACGGGGAAUCUGGCCGGACGGCCCCGCAGCC
Regulatory RNA element from Brachybacterium muris, 102 nucleotides. It matches the Rfam family "mraW RNA". NCBI's taxonomy places the organism in Bacteria, Bacillati, Actinomycetota, Actinomycetes, Micrococcales, Dermabacteraceae. The record is from Rfam.